This 271-nucleotide ribosomal RNA is filed under the name uncultured prokaryote. RNAcentral's name for it is "partial 16S ribosomal RNA". It matches the Rfam family "Bacterial small subunit ribosomal RNA", at positions 524 to 794 of the family's 1533-position model. The record is from RNAcentral.
UACGUAGGUGGCGAGCGUUGUCCGGAUUUACUGGGCGUAAAGGGAGCGUAGGCGGACUUUUAAGUGAGAUGUGAAAUACCCGGGCUCAACUUGGGUGCUGCAUUUCAAACUGGAAGUCUAGAGUGCAGGAGAGGAGAAUGGAAUUCCUAGUGUAGCGGUGAAACGCGUAGAGAUUAGGAAGAACACCAGUGGCGAAGGCGAUUCUCUGGACUGUAACUGACGCUGAGGCUCGAAAGCGUGGGGAGCAAACAGGAUUAGAUACCCGGGUAGU